GCAGUCGACGAUGAUCCCAGCUUGCUGGGGGAUUAGUGGCGAACGGGUGAGUAACACGUGAGUAACCUGCCCUUAACUCUGGGAUAAGCCUGGGAAACUGGGUCUAAUACCGGAUAUGACUCCUCAUCGCAUGGUGGGGGGUGGAAAGCUUUAUUGUGGUUUUGGAUGGACUCGCGGCCUAUCAGCUUGUUGGUGAGGUAAUGGCUCACCAAGGCGACGACGGGUAGCCGGCCUGAGAGGGUGACCGGCCACACUGGGACUGAGACACGGCCCAGACUCCUACGGGAGGCAGCAGUGGGGAAUAUUGCACAAUGGGCGAAAGCCUGAUGCAGCGACGCCGCGUGAGGGAUGACGGCCUUCGGGUUGUAAACCUCUUUCAGUAGGGAAGAAGCGAAAGUGACGGUACCUGCAGAAGAAGCGCCGGCUAACUACGUGCCAGCAGCCGCGGUAAUACGUAGGGCGCAAGCGUUAUCCGGAAUUAUUGGGCGUAAAGAGCUCGUAGGCGGUUUGUCGCGUCUGCCGUGAAAGUCCGGGGCUCAACUCCGGAUCUGCGGUGGGUACGGGCAGACUAGAGUGAUGUAGGGGAGACUGGAAUUCCUGGUGUAGCGGUGAAAUGCGCAGAUAUCAGGAGGAACACCGAUGGCGAAGGCAGGUCUCUGGGCAUUAACUGACGCUGAGGAGCGAAAGCAUGGGGAGCGAACAGGAUU
RNAcentral lists this ribosomal RNA (707 nucleotides) under uncultured Planococcus sp. RNAcentral describes it as "bacterial SSU rRNA". It matches the Rfam family "Bacterial small subunit ribosomal RNA", at positions 57 to 779 of the family's 1533-position model. The record is from RNAcentral. Lineage: Bacteria; Bacillati; Bacillota; Bacilli; Caryophanales; Caryophanaceae.